Molecule: ribosomal RNA, 472 nt
Filed under: Cephalotheca sulfurea
Lineage: Eukaryota; Fungi; Ascomycota; Sordariomycetes; Cephalothecales; Cephalothecaceae
Description: eukaryotic LSU rRNA
Rfam family: Eukaryotic large subunit ribosomal RNA
Source: RNAcentral
UGAAGCGGCAACAGCUCGAAUUUGAAAUCUGGCUUCGGCCCGAGUUGUAAUCUGUAGAGGAUGCUUUUGGCGCGGUGCCUUCCGAGUGCCCUGGAACGGGACGCCACAGAGGGUGAGAGCCCCGUAUGGUCGGACACCAAGCCUGUGUAAAGCUCCUUCGACGAGUCGGGUAGCUUGGGAAUGCUGCUCUAAGUGGGAGGUAAACUUCUUCUAAAGCUAAAUACUGGCCAGAGACCGAUAGCGCACAAGUAGAGUGAUCGAAAGAUGAAAAGCACUUUGAAAAGAGGGUCAAAUAGUACGUGAAAUUGUUGAAAGGGAAGCGCUCAUGACCAGACUUGCGCCGGGCUGAUCAUCCAGUGGUUUCCACUGGUGCACUCUGCCCGGCCCAGGCCAGCGUCGGCUGUCACGGGGGGACAAAAGCACUGGGAAAGUAGCUCUCUCCGGGGAGUGUUAUAGCCCUAUGCAGAAUACC